Non-coding RNA from Streptomyces violaceusniger Tu 4113, 125 nucleotides. Lineage: Bacteria; Bacillati; Actinomycetota; Actinomycetes; Kitasatosporales; Streptomycetaceae. The record is from Rfam.
GAUAGGUCCAUGUCGCUACUGUGAUUGGACACUGACGCUGAGUCAACUAGCCUUGUUCGAGCGGUUCUCCACGAGAAGAACCGGGGCGUCUCAAGCCACGAGGGGGGAGGCUUGAGACGCCCGCA